Molecule: transfer RNA, 72 nt
Filed under: Endomicrobium sp.
Lineage: Bacteria; Pseudomonadati; Elusimicrobiota; Endomicrobiia; Endomicrobiales; Endomicrobiaceae
Description: tRNA-Asn
Rfam family: tRNA
About the family: Transfer RNA (tRNA) molecules are approximately 80 nucleotides in length. Their secondary structure includes four short double-helical elements and three loops (D, anti-codon, and T loops).
Source: RNAcentral
UCCGACGUAGCUCAAUGGUAGAGCAAUCGGCUGUUAACCGAUUGGUUGUUGGUUCGAAUCCAGCCGUCGGAG